UACGUAGGGUGCGAGCGUUGCCCGGAUUUAUUGGGCGUAAAGGGCGCGUAGGCGGCCACGCACGUCCGUUGUGAAAUCGCCCGGCUCAACUGGGCGGGGUCAGCGGAUACGGUGUGGCUCGAGCAAGCUAGGGGGCAAUGGAAUUCCCGGUGUGAGUGGUGGAAUGCGUAGAUAUCGGGAGGAACACCAGUGGCGAAGGCGGUUGCCUGGAGCUUUGCUGACGCUGAGGCGCGAAAGCGUGGGGAGCGAUCCGG
RNAcentral lists this ribosomal RNA (254 nucleotides) under uncultured bacterium. RNAcentral's name for it is "partial 16S ribosomal RNA". It matches the Rfam family "Bacterial small subunit ribosomal RNA", at positions 524 to 776 of the family's 1533-position model. The record is from RNAcentral.